GACGAACGCUGGCGGCGUGCUCAACACAUGCAAGUCGAGCGGGUAAGGCCCUUUCGGGGGUACACGAGCGGCGAAACGGGUGAGUAACACGUGGGUGACCUGCCCUCAGCUCUGGGAUAAGCCCGGGAAACUGGGUCUAAUACCGGAUAUGACUUCAUGACGCAUGUUGUGGAGUGGAAAGCCUUGUGCGGCUGAGGAUGGGCCCGCGGCCUAUCAGCUUGUUGGUGGGGNGAUGGCCUACCAAGGCGACGACGGGGUAGCCGGCCUGAGAGGGCGACGGCCACACUGGGACUGAGAUACGGGCCCA
RNAcentral lists this ribosomal RNA (307 nucleotides) under uncultured bacterium. RNAcentral describes it as "bacterial SSU rRNA". It matches the Rfam family "Bacterial small subunit ribosomal RNA", at positions 28 to 333 of the family's 1533-position model. The record is from RNAcentral.